Long non-coding RNA from Folsomia candida, 518 nucleotides. RefSeq lists it as uncharacterized. The record is from RefSeq and is a predicted model, not a curated record. NCBI's taxonomy places the organism in Eukaryota, Metazoa, Arthropoda, Collembola, Entomobryomorpha, Isotomidae. The transcript is spliced from 2 exons.
CUGCUUCUAUAUGAGACACAUUACUACGUGGAAGAGGAAAUUGGGCUUAUCUCCGCCAAAAAGGAAUUACACUUAUCAAUUUCAAUUUUUCAACUAAUCUUUUAUCGUAAAAAAUGACGCCGUCCCGCUCACUGCUUCUUCUCGGUACCGUAUUCGUUAUCGUCCUGGCUAUAAUUUCGGCCGCACAAUCCGCUCCGCAUAAUGACUGCGAUUGUCACUACCAGACGGACAAGGGGGGCUGCGUGAUCACGAGGGUCCUGCCGCUGCCGGAUUUAAAUGCAGGUGUCGCUUUCCCGAUUUUUCUUAAUUACGCACUGCAUCGGAACCAGGAUUGGCUGUAAUGCGGAGCGAACUUUGUCCAGCGAAUUGCGCAUCGAAGGAUUGUUGUUUGCUGGCUAAUGGAAAUUGCGACGGAUAUUAAGUAAAUAGCUAACAAAUUAAUGUAAUGUUAACAAUUAAUUAAUUAAUUGAUCAAUUAAAAAUAAAAUAAAUAAAAAGUUAAAAAGUUUACAAAUAAA